AGAAAGCGCUGACAAAAACAGAACAUCUAAGGAGAAAAAUCACAAAAAUGCAUGUGUUUCUAUAGAUUUCUUCAAAAAACAUUAAAAAACAUCAAAAGUAGUUUGAAAUUGUGAUCAGAAAUUAAGCUGCCAGUGGCCCAACGACAAGCAUCCCUGCUCCGAUCAGCCGGUGUUUUUGGAGAGCCCAGAAGGCACUGGAGUUGCGGAAUGUUCCAGGUUAAUGGAAUCGAUCCGGCUGGAUUUUUUACAUUGCGGACAUCUCCAGCUUUGUGCACUCGAGGAAGAAUGUAGAGCGAAAAUUAGCACAACCUCAAACUGUCCCCAUUUGCCCCGGAAGAAUCACCUCGAAGUUCAAAUUGCACGCGCACAACGGGUUGAAGAAAAAAGUAGUUUGAUGCUUCCGAGCGUAUUCUGCGAUGUCGACUUCCGGAUGCCCGAGGUCGGUAUGGCCAAUUGCGUACGCGGCGUUGGUUGGCUGACCGGUGGAAGUCAGAUGCUGAUACUGAAGAUUACGGCCGCUUCCGAAGGGUCCAGCUGAUGGGAAUACGUUUGCAGAAAAUGAGUGGUUCCGCGUUGGAGUGGAUGCGCUAAAAAGCAAUGGAACCAUCUGGAGCAUUUGUCUUUUUAAUUAUUGUCAGCUACGCUUCCGUCCUUCGCAAAAUCUUGACGUGCAAUGAAAAAAACAGCUCGGUCGGCAACACUGCUUGCUGCGAUCGACUCACCAACGCGACACCCCUCGUCGCCGCCUGCGACGACGCAAGGAACGAUCGAGAAGGUGGGAAUUGGCGCGCAAAGGAAGCGCGCGCAAACGAGCAGAAGGAGGAGAGAAAGAGAGAGAGAGAAAAGUGGAGAUUUUUCACUCCAGUUCGCAACGCGUGCUUAUGUAAAUAGUGAUCAGAAAUAUAAAGUUUUUGUUAGGAAAAGUGAA
Long non-coding RNA from Culex quinquefasciatus (southern house mosquito), 928 nucleotides. RefSeq lists it as uncharacterized. NCBI's taxonomy places the organism in Eukaryota, Metazoa, Arthropoda, Insecta, Diptera, Culicidae. The record is from RefSeq and is a predicted model, not a curated record. The transcript has 2 exons.